This 67-nucleotide small RNA is filed under the name Caldibacillus thermoamylovorans. Its description in RNAcentral is "Bacillus thermoamylovorans Bacillaceae-1 RNA". It matches the Rfam family "Bacillaceae-1 RNA". Lineage: Bacteria; Bacillati; Bacillota; Bacilli; Caryophanales; Bacillaceae. The record is from Rfam by way of RNAcentral.
UCCUGCGGGAGGUCGGCUAAAAACGGUCACGUCCUGUGACCAACGCCGCACGCUAACGUCCUGUGCG